AUUGAACGCUGGCGGCAUGGCUAAAACAUGCAAGUCGAACGAUCCCUUCGGGGAGAGUGGCGAAAGGGCGAGGAAUAGAAUCGAAUGUACCCCAAGGUGGGGGAUAGCCUCUGGAAACGGAGGGUAAUACCCCAUGUGCUCUACGGAGGAAAGGUUUACCGCCUUGGGAGCAGCGAUUCUCCUAUCAGGUAGUUGGUGAGGUAACGGCUCACCAAGCCGAAGACGGGUAGCGGGUGUGAGAGCAUGACCCGCCGCAUCGGGACUGAGACACUGCCCGGACUCCUACGGGAGGCUGCAGUAACGAAUCUUCCGCAAUGGGCGAAAGCCUGACGGAGCAAUGCCGCGUGUGGGAUGAAGCAUCUUCGAUGUGUAAACCACUGUCAGGGUCUAGGAAUACUGACCAGACCCAAAGGAAGGGCCGGCUAAUUCCGUGCCAGCAGCCGCGGU
RNAcentral lists this ribosomal RNA (447 nucleotides) under uncultured bacterium. Its description in RNAcentral is "bacterial SSU rRNA". It matches the Rfam family "Bacterial small subunit ribosomal RNA", at positions 30 to 521 of the family's 1533-position model. The record is from RNAcentral.